AAGUCGUAACAAGGUUUCCGUAGGUGAACCUGCGGAAGGAUCAUUACAGAGUUAGGGUCUUCCAGGCCCGACCUCCCAACCCUUUGAUUACCGAACCUCUGUUGCUUCGGCGGACCCGUCUCUCGCGAGACCGCCGGAGGAUUUGCCGCGAGGCGUCCUCUGGCCCGCGUCCGCCGAGAGCCUACCUUUACAAAUUCUGAAAUAACCGUGUCACAUGCCUAAGUCAAAUUGAUAAAUUAAAGCAAAACUUUCAACAACGGAUCUCUUGGUUCUGGCAUCGAUGAAGAACGCAGCGAAAUGCGAUAAGUAAUGCGAAUUGCAGAAUUCCAGUGAGUCAUCGAAUCUUUGAACGCACAUUGCGCCCCUUGGUAUUCCGAAGGGCAUGCCUGUUCGAGCGUCAUUAUCACCCCUCAAGCCCCGUGCUUGGUGUUGGACGGCUUGGUCGUUGCCCCGGCGCGACCCCUCCGAAAGAUAACGACGGCGGCCUGUGGUUCCCCCGGUACACUGAGCUUUUUACGAGGCAUGUGUCGGACAAGGGCGCCCAGGCUCCGGUCCCCCUUUUGCCCUCACCGGCGAAAAACUCACAAGGUUGACCUCGGAUCAGGUAGGAAUACGCGCUGAACUUAA
Molecule: ribosomal RNA, 627 nt
Filed under: uncultured fungus
Lineage: Eukaryota; Fungi
Description: eukaryotic LSU rRNA
Rfam family: 5.8S ribosomal RNA (bases 246-400)
Source: RNAcentral